Molecule: long non-coding RNA, 948 nt
Organism: Bubalus bubalis (water buffalo)
Lineage: Eukaryota; Metazoa; Chordata; Mammalia; Artiodactyla; Bovidae
Exons: 2
Source: RefSeq, a predicted model, not a curated record
UACCAUUGCUACUACAUCUAUUGGUACUACUGAAAAAAUAAGAUACUUUUUAUAGCUAAUGUUGAGUGCAUAUACCUACUGCACUCUACCUAUAGAUUUAAGUUCUAACAUGUACUAAUUUAUCUAAACUUCAUCUUAACCUGGGAUGGUUGAAUUGUAUCUGUCUUCCCCAAAUUUACAUGUUGAAAUCCUAUAUCCCAAUAUUUCAGAAUGUCUGUAUUUGGAGACAGGGUCCUUAAAGAGGUAAAAUUAGGUCAUUAGGGUGGGCCUUAAUCCAAUUGACUGGUAUUCUUAUAAGAAGAGGAGAUCAGACCACAGAUAUGCACAGAGUAAAGAACAAGUAAAGACACAGACAGAAGAUGGUCCAAGCCAAAGAGGCACAACCCUCUAGACACCUGAUCUCAGAUGUCUAGCCUCCAUAAGUGUGAAAAGUACAUUUGUAUUACAGUCUGUGGUAUCUUUUCAUGGAAGUUCUAGCAAAUGAGUACAUAACCUUAAAGCAGUAUUGAGCUCAGAUGAAGGGUCUACAGAUGCAGGAGCUGACACAGAGAGAAGUGAUUUUGGGAACCCCACACCUUAGAGAAGGUCAGUGACCUCUGCCUGCCCUCUGCACUUUGCCCACCCCCACCCCCUGCCCACCAUGGUCUGUGACGUUGGUGCCAAGGGGCAAGUUCAGCCGGAGUGAUGUUCUUGGUAGAGCUGAAGUGGUCCACCACAGCUACGGCAGACACAGCUCUUUGUUCUCAACUCACUGCUAAUCGUUCAAUUCCAAGGACAACCAGGAACAUCGCAUUUUGUUUCCAGAGCUGCAUGAUAUCUUGAUAUGACGCCAUCUAGUGUUCCAAACUUUGCUAGCAAAAGGAAUGAAGCAUCACCCGCAAAUAAAACAAGAAGACUUCCAACUAGGGGUGGGGGCAGAUAUUAUUACUAAACUAACUUAAAAGCAAA